GCUGAAUUCAAUCCAGCAAGAAGCUUCUCCUUCAUCGAUAGGGAUUGGUAAAGUCGUGGCCUCAUAUAACUUAAAGACCAAAUUGCUCGACCAGUUAUUGCAGCUUACUUUUGAAGAUUAGUCUAUUGCUUUGGGAUAUCCAUGAUUGGGGAAAUCGUAUUAGUAAGUACUCCUAUAAGAUUAGUCAAUCAUGUAAAGUACCCCAAGGGUCUUGGGAACUCAUCAGCUUUCGCUUUAGAAUGUUAUGUUCGUAUUUAGAAGGUGAUAGUCCAUGUUCGUAUGAUUUGCCGCAGAAUCCACAUCUUCUCCACUCCAAUCAAAUGCUACACAACUCCUUGUGCUUUAUUGAUUCAUUCA
Molecule: non-coding RNA, 357 nt
Organism: Salvia hispanica
Lineage: Eukaryota; Viridiplantae; Streptophyta; Magnoliopsida; Lamiales; Lamiaceae
Source: RefSeq, a predicted model, not a curated record